This 253-nucleotide ribosomal RNA is filed under the name uncultured bacterium. Its description in RNAcentral is "partial 16S ribosomal RNA". It matches the Rfam family "Bacterial small subunit ribosomal RNA", at positions 524 to 776 of the family's 1533-position model. The record is from RNAcentral.
GACGGAGGAUGCAAGCGUUAUCCGGAAUUAUUGGGCGUAAAGCGUCCGCAGGUGGGUUUACAAGUCUGCUGUCAAAGCGCAGAGCUUAACUCUGUACAGGCGGUGGAAACUGUAAGUCUUGAGUAUGGUAGGGGUAGAGGGAAUUCCCGGUGUAGCGGUGAAAUGCGUAGAUAUCGGGAAGAACACCAGUGGCGAAAGCGCUCUACUGGGCCAUAACUGACACUGAGGGACGAAAGCUAGGGGAGCGAAAGGG